CGGUAGAGAUACCUUAGUGCCUUCGGGAACGCUGAGACAGGUGCUGCAUGGCUGUCGUCAGCUCGUGUUGUGAAAUGUUGGGUUAAGUCCCGCAACGAGCGCAACCCUUAUCCUUUGUUGCCAGCGGUCCGGCCGGGAACUCAAAGGAGACUGCCAGUGAUAAACUGGAGGAAGGUGGGGAUGACGUCAAGUCAUCAUGGCCCUUACGAGUAGGGCUACACACGUGCUACAAUGGCGCAUACAAAGAGAAGCGACCUCGCGAGAGCAAGCGGACCUCAUAAAGUGCGUCGUAGUCCGGAUUGGAGUCUGCAACUCGACUCCAUGAAGUCGGAAUCGCUAGUAAUCGUAGAUCAGAAUGCUACGGUGAAUACGUUCCCGGGCCUUGUACACACCGCCCGUCACACCAUGGGAGUGGGUUGCAAAAGAAGUAGGUAGCUUAACCUUCGGGAGGGCGCUUACCACUUUGUGAUUCAUGACUGGGGUGAAGUCGUAACAAGGUAGGCGUAGCGAG
Molecule: ribosomal RNA, 511 nt
Filed under: uncultured bacterium
Lineage: Bacteria
Description: bacterial SSU rRNA
Rfam family: Bacterial small subunit ribosomal RNA
Source: RNAcentral